RNAcentral lists this long non-coding RNA (1257 nucleotides) under Equus caballus (horse). RNAcentral describes it as "lncRNA (ENSECAG00000044158.1)". Lineage: Eukaryota; Metazoa; Chordata; Mammalia; Perissodactyla; Equidae. The record is from RNAcentral.
CAGAGGAGGACUCGUGUCAGAGUGGGGUUAAGAGUCAGCCUCUCAGGACAAGAGAUGUCAUCCUGAGACCCUAGGCUGGUGGUAGUUACUGGGUGAAGGGUGAGGACGAGGGUUUCAGGCAGAGGGCAUCACCUUUGGGAAGACACGGAGGUAGGAGAGAGCACGAGCAUUUGGGCGAGAAGGAAGUACAUAAGUGGUCUUAUCUUUUUUUUUUUUUUGAGGAAGAUUAGCCCUGAGCUAACUACUGCCAGUCCUCCUCUUCUUGAUGAGGAGGCCCGGCCCUGAGCUAACAUCGUGCCCAUCUUCCUCUGCUUUAUAUGUGGGAUGCCUACCACAGCAUGGCGUGCCAAGUGGUGCCAUGUCCACACCCAGGAUCCGAACCGGCGAACCCUGGGCCGCCGAGAAGUGGAAUGUGUGAACUUAACUGCUGUGCCACCGGGCCGGCCCGGACUCUUUCUGACUCUCCUCUUCUGAGCAUGUGGGAGGGUUGCCCUGAGCACCUGGGACGGUUCCAUAUGACUAGUUCUGGCCAAUGAGUUGUGAAAGGAAGUGAUGUGUGCCACUUCUAGGCUCAAGGUGAAGUGAGCCUAACUUAAUUGUCAGUGUGAAACCUUCCACGGCAGUCCUUCCUUCCAACACAGCGACUGACAGCUUUCAAAAUGGCGGCUACUCCAACGGCUUGGGACCCCAAGUGACUGUGAUGAGCAGAGCCCCGGGUCAACGCUCACUGGCCAUAUAUUUCUCUCCAGCCUCACUGGCCGGCUGGCCCCACUGUCACCUCUUUGGCAAAUUCGCUCAUCUGCGGCCGGGAUGAGUUCGGCAUCCAGAGGCCUCUGCACUGAGGAGGGAGGCAGGAAAAGUCUAAAGUUUCCAGAGCUCUCUGCUGCUAAGGAUCUAGGAUUCCAGACCUCUCCGGGUAGUCAGACGCCCAGAUCCUCGGCUCCUGUUAUUCUAAGACCCCGUGACCGGCGCACGCUAACCUCUGCCAUCUUGGAACGCUGGGGGUUGAACUGACGAGUCACCCAGCGUGGGCCGUGCCUGUGCCGGCUCUGUCUGGAGCUCACGUGGCCCUUGAGUGGGAGCUCAUCUCCUGUCAGGUUCCCGGGUGUGGCAGCUGCUGCCUCUGCUGUCCCCCUCAAGGGCGCCCUGAGUCUGGAAACGUGGGUGCUGAGAGGGCCAGGCCUCCAGCAGGGACUGUGCUGUGUUAACAUCCUCCUUUUCUGAGCCCCUGAACUGAGAAGGCACCAAAACCCAGCG